RNAcentral lists this ribosomal RNA (196 nucleotides) under uncultured Sporolactobacillus sp. RNAcentral describes it as "partial 16S ribosomal RNA". It matches the Rfam family "Bacterial small subunit ribosomal RNA", at positions 337 to 524 of the family's 1533-position model. The record is from RNAcentral. Lineage: Bacteria; Bacillati; Bacillota; Bacilli; Caryophanales; Sporolactobacillaceae.
UCCUACGGGAGGCAGCAGUAGGGAAUCUUCGGCAAUGGGCGAAAGCCUGACCGAGCAACGCCGCGUGAGCGAUGAAGGCCUUCGGGUCGUAAAGCUCUGUUGUUAGGGAAGAACAAGUAUGAGUUGAAUAAGCUCAUGCCUUGACGGUACCUAACGAGAAAGCCACGGCUAACUACGUGCCAGCAGCCGCGGUAAU